UACAAUGAAAGUAAACGGGCAAAAUUUAAAACUUCACAAAAUCACCCAUCACUUAUGUAACUUAUGUAUGACCUGAAUACCCUUUUCCCCAAAAGAUCUCAACCCCGUACGAGUCAUCUUCUAUCCGUAACCGCCUUCUGCCGCCGGCCACCGAUUUUGGGGAUAGGAGGAUCGUAGGGUUUGUGGUUUGGGGAAUAUAUGGCUGAUCGUAACUUGGCGGUGGUGAAGCCAAUAUGGAUGAAGCAAGCAGAAGAGGCAAAAAUAAAGAGCGAUGCUGAGAAAGACGCUGCAGCAAAGGCGGCUUUCGAGGCUACCUUCAAAGACGUUGAGAACAAUCGAGAGCCUGCUGCUUUGUCGGAUAGUGAUGGCGAUGAAGAAGAGGAUUUGAGUAACAAGCCUAUUGGACCGGUGGAACCGUCGAAGAGCACGGCUGCUGGGACUGGUGUUGCUGGAGGAACUGCGUGUGCACCGUCUUCGUUUGUGGUUGUUACGAAGGAUGCAGAUGGUCGUAAAGUACCCAACGGUGGAGCCCAGGUUAAGGUGAAGGUUUCGCCUGGUGUCGGUGUUGGCGGGUCUGAACAAGAAGGUAUUGUUAAGGAUAUGGGUGAUGGGACCUACACUGUUACUUAUGUGGUUCCGAAGAGAGGGAAUUACAUGCUGGAUGUUGAGUGUGAUGGGAAGCCUAUUAUGGGAAGCCCGUUUCCAGUUUUCUUCAGUGCAGGCACAACUACAGGAGGGCUUAUGGGUUUUGCCCCACAAUUGAAUUACCCGAAUAUGGUUAACCAAACUAUGCCAAACAUGCCGAAUUACUCGGGUUCCGUUUCAGGGGCGUUUCCCGGACUGCUCGGUAUAAUUCCGGGUAUUGUUCCUAGUGCUUCGGGUGGGGUUGUUUUGCCCGGUAUUGGAGCAUCACUUGGGGAAGUUUGCAGAGAAUACUUGAACGGACGAUGUGUAAAAACGGAUUGCAAGUUCAAUCAUCCACCGCACAGUCUGCUGAUGACUGCUUUGGCUUCCACAAGCACCAUGGGUACUCUUAGUCAAGCGCCAAUGGCACCGUCUGCUGCUGCAAUGGCAGCUGCUCAGGCCAUUGUUGCCGCUCAAGCACUUCAAGCGCAUGCUUCCAGUGCACAAGCCCAGUCGUCUAAAGACGCGUCUGGACCAGAAGAUAAGGCAGCAAAGGCUGAUUCUUUAAAGAAAACUCUACAAAUUAGUAAUCUCAGCCCACUGCUUACCGUAGAUCAACUAAAACAGAUUUUUGGUUUUUGUGGUACAGUUGUCGAGUGUAGUAUCACAGAUUCAAAGCAUUUUGCUUACAUAGAAUAUUCAAAACCCGAAGAAGCAACAGCUGCACUUGCGUUAAACAACAUGGAUGUUUUAGGUCGUCCAUUGAAUGUCGAAAUGGCAAAAUCGUUACCUCAGAAACCUGCCAGUAAUUCCGCUCUUAAUUCUUCUUUGCCAAUGGUGAUGCAGCAGGCUGUUGCAAUGCAACAAAUGCAAUUUCAACAGGCUCUUUUAAUGCAGCAAACCAUGAACGCACAGCAGGCAGCUAAUCGAGCUGCAACUAUGAAGACCGCAACAGAAUUGGCUGCUGCUAGAGCUGCAGAAAUAAGUAUGAAAUUAAAAGCUGAAGGGAUUAUCGGAAAUGAUGAUGAACCAGUUAAAACUCUCAGGUCACCUUCACCGGUCCCUGCAAGGUCAAGAUCCAAAUCGAAGUCUCCCAUAAGCUAUAAUAGAAGGCGUAGGUCCCGCUCUUUUUCUCCACAUCAUCGCGUGAGGGGUUAUAGAUCCAGGUCACCUAUAAGAUCUCGCCAUUACUCUAGUUAUGAAUAUGACAGACGGUCUUUUCGGGAUUACAGGGGCGGUAGUGAUAGAAGUAGAAGAGGUGAUUACGGCAGAUCAAACGAUCGACACUCGUAUAGGAACCGAAGCAGGAGUGUGAGCCCUGUUACCAGAAAAUCAUACCGUGAUGGGUCAGGAUCUCCGAAACGUCGUCAUGAAAGCCCAGCCCAUAGGUCAAAGAAAUCUUCUCGUGGCGGUUCUAGAUCCCCUGUAAGUCAUCGUGAUGAUCAGAGUAAAGAAAAACACAGAAGACGGUCCAGGUCAGCGUCUUUGGAAGUUAAACAUCGAUCAAGUGAUAAAACAGAUCACAGUAGGGAGGAAAAGGAAAAGUCAAAACGUCGUGAUCGGAGAAGGUCAAGGUCAAAAUCGUUAGAAAUUAAGCAUGGUUCUGGUGACAAAUCGGGUGACACAAAACAUAGGGACCGUAGACGGUCCAGGUCAGCAUCAGCAGAUGAAAAGCAUCAUAGAAGUUUGGAUGGAGGUAAAUCAAAACAUAGGAGACGGUCCAGGAGUAGGAGUCCAGAAGAUAACCACCGUUCGAGCGGUAAAACUGAUAGAAACAGGAAGGAGAAGUCAAGGUCAAAGUAUCAUAGUAGAAGGCAAUCCAGGUCAGCAUCUCCCGAAGUCAAACGUCACAAAGAAAGUAGAAAAUCUCCUGGAUGCUCUGAUGAACAUAAACCAAAACACAGAAGACGGUCAAGAUCAAGGUCAAGGUCAAGGUCAAAAUCAGCUGAACGUAAUCAAUUGAACAAUCGUGACGAUGGGUCUGGUCCCGAAGUCAAACGUCACAAAGAAAGUAGAAAAUCUCCUGGACGCUCUGAUGAACAUAAACCAAAACACAGAAGACGGUCAAGAUCAAGGUCAAGGUCAAGGUCAAAAUCAGCUGAACGUGAUCAAUUGAACAAUCGUGACGAUGUGUCUGGUGAUGCUAAUUAUAAUGAAAAUCGUUUGAAGGAUAUUAAGGAUGAUGCUGAUUUUAAAUCCGAAGUUUAUAGAAAUGUUGAGAGGGAUGAUGAAACAGCCGAGGAUGUGUAAUGAUGUACCAAUGGGAUAAUGCAAGCUGGACGGAAGAUUCAUGGGAUUUCUGUUUAAACCUUUGGGCUCUGUAGAAUAAAUGUGUUGUUUGUUUCUUUUGCAGGUUCGAUGGGAUUAUGCCGGAUUCACACUUUCUGCUGAUUUUAAUUGGUUAAAAUGUUUGAAGAACUUUUCUGCAACCCUAACUGGAGUAUGUUUUUAGCGACUUAAUCAACUUAAUGUUGCUGGAUGGUUUCUUUUGGCGGUUUAUCGGAUCCAUUUGGCAGGUUUUUUCUUUAUAUUAAAGGUCUCGGGUUAUAUAAGACCGACUUCAACCAGAUGUAGCCGAGUUGACUAGCAUCACCAGAUCUUGGAUAUGCUAAUUGGCAGGUAAUAGUUCUUUGGACAUUAUAGUUACUUUUAAGAAAUAAUGUUAAUUUAUAGGUAGUAUAGUCUGUCACCAACUAUUGGAGGGUGAUUAAGUUUAGCUAGACAUCAUUUACUUGCUAUUAUACCCCACAACAGCCUGUGCUGAUGUCUCCUUACAAAAAUAACAUAUUUUUUAUAUGGAUUUAACAUUUAGUUUUUUUAGUUUAAAUUUGAUUUGAGUAACAGGAUAGAAUAGAAUAACGAGUCACAGGGAACCAGUGUUGUUCCCCAAUCUAUUAUCUCCCUACAAUUGGUUUAAUAGCAAACAAGUCCCCAAUGGAGUGCGAGAGGGCGUUCUUAGGGGGUGUGAAUUUCUGGCACAACACGGAAACACCACUCUAAACGGGUUUGGGUCAGUUUCAAGUCGAACCCUCGAACGUUGUGUUUUAGAUGUGAUAGAAAUGUUGGACUAGAAGACCUUUAAGCUUGAGAUGUUGAACCUGAUCCUGUUAAAGUUGUCUUUCGUUGUUUGUCACAUUGGAUGAUUGUUGUCUUUAUUUCUUUAUAUAUUUUUUUCGAACGGCGAAUUUCUUUAAUUUUGUUAUGUGCGGUA
Helianthus annuus (common sunflower) is the source of this 3835-nucleotide RNA transcript. It is a transcript of the gene named splicing regulatory glutamine/lysine-rich protein 1, with no coding region annotated. The transcript is spliced from 7 exons. Lineage: Eukaryota; Viridiplantae; Streptophyta; Magnoliopsida; Asterales; Asteraceae. The record is from RefSeq and is a predicted model, not a curated record.